RNAcentral lists this transfer RNA (101 nucleotides) under archaeon. Its description in RNAcentral is "tRNA-Ser". It matches the Rfam family "tRNA". From Rfam's summary of the family: Transfer RNA (tRNA) molecules are approximately 80 nucleotides in length. Their secondary structure includes four short double-helical elements and three loops (D, anti-codon, and T loops). The record is from RNAcentral. RNAcentral also lists the same sequence under 2 other names.
GCCGAGGUACCCUAGCCAUACAACACUAGAAAGGUAGGGGGCAAGCCUGCUAAGCUUGUGCCCGUAAGGGCUCGCGGGUUCAAAUCCCGCCCUCGGCGCCA